GGUGAGUUUUCAGGCAGUUGCUUCCCAGGUAGCUCCUCCUUCACCAACAUUUAAUCUUGUUAAACCAAUGGCUCAGCAGAGUGGUUUUCAGGAUGGAGUUGACGGGCAUGAAAGAUUAGGGUGGGGGGCCACAGCGGAGAGGGGGAGAGGGCUAGACUUUGAAUUUGAGAAUGGCAGGGUGAAGCCNNNNNNNNNNNNNUGAGAUAGGGGUGGACUACCUUGAGCUCACACUUGGGUGUGCAAAUUAAAGGCCCAUUAAGCUAAUAUAUAAUUAGUCUUGGGAACCUAAGAACAUGGAAAAUAAUUGGAGUUUAUUGUGCAUUCUCAAUGGUAUAAUUGGUGUGCUUUCUCAACCGUAUAAUUGGACUAUCUUAGCUAAUGGAAUGCCAUUGCUAGGGGCUUACCUGUGACUUCUGUGAUAGCGUGGAAACCUUGAAUUCGCAUUCGAACAUGAAUUCCGUGCAUCCAAUCUUUCCUUUUAGAUGUAUAGUUCCUUUUUCUUGAAUCCUUUGCAGGAAUCUGAAUUUAUCUGAUUCAGUCGCUUUUGAGCAAAAUUUCUUGCAGGCUUUCAUGGAAGGGCAAAGCUAAAGAUCCCAAAUUUUCUUGUACAGGGAAAAGAUUGGUGCUAGUGGAUUUGGAAGAUUGUAUUCUUCCUUCAUAUGUUCAUAUUUUUUCUUCCAUUUUUCGUUGAUUAUAGUGCCCUAUUCACAUGUUAAUAGGAUGGCCUUUGCAAGCUUCAAAUAUUUAGCAUAUAGAUUGUGUAUCUCGUUGGGGAUUAUUGAGCUGUUUCUCAUGCUCUGUAGACUUUGAAGAAACACAAUCUAAAUGCUAAAAUUGAAGCAAAAUCUUAAUGUUUGACUAAACAGAAGAACGUAGUGAUCG
RNAcentral lists this unclassified non-coding RNA (882 nucleotides) under Hevea brasiliensis (rubber tree). The record is from RNAcentral. Lineage: Eukaryota; Viridiplantae; Streptophyta; Magnoliopsida; Malpighiales; Euphorbiaceae.